UACACUCCUACGGGAGGCAGCAGUGGGGAAUUUUGGACAAUGGGCGAAAGCCUGAUCCAGCCAUGCCGCGUGCAGGAUGAAGGCCUUCGGGUUGUAAACUGCUUUUGUACGGAACGAAACGGCCUUUUCUAAUAAAGAGGGCUAAUGACGGUACCGUAAGAAUAAGCACCGGCUAACUACGUGCCAGCAGCCGCGGUAAUACGUAGGGUGCAAGCGUUAAUCGGAAUUACUGGGCGUAAAGCGUGCGCAGGCGGUUAUGUAAGACAGUUGUGAAAUCCCCGGGCUCAACCUGGGAACUGCAUCUGUGACUGCAUAGCUAGAGUACGGUAGAGGGGGAUGGAAUUCCGCGUGUAGCAGUGAAAUGCGUAGAUAUGCGGAGGAACACCGAUGGCGAAGGCAAUCCCCUGGACCUGUACUGACGCUCAUGCACGAAAGCGUGGGGAGCAAACAGGAUUAGAAACCCCUGUAGUCCCA
This 474-nucleotide ribosomal RNA is filed under the name uncultured organism. RNAcentral describes it as "partial 16S ribosomal RNA". It matches the Rfam family "Bacterial small subunit ribosomal RNA", at positions 332 to 797 of the family's 1533-position model. The record is from RNAcentral.